UUACGACCAUAUCACGCUGAAACACCGGUUCCCAUACUAGCACUGCAGUUAAGCAACGUCGAAUCUUCUCAGUAGCAAGAUGGGUGUCCGCUUGGGAAUACCAGGUGUUGUAA
Non-coding RNA from Acanthosepion pharaonis, 113 nucleotides. The record is from the annotation of a GenBank genome assembly. Lineage: Eukaryota; Metazoa; Mollusca; Cephalopoda; Sepiida; Sepiidae.